AUUCCGGUUGAUCCUGCCGGAGGCCAUUGCUAUCGGAGUCCGAUUUAGCCAUGCUAGUUGCACGAGUUCACACUCGUAGCAUAUAGCUCAGUAACACGUGGUCAAGCUACCCUGCAGACCGCAAUAACCUCGGGAAACUGAGGCCAAUAGCGGAUAUAACUCUCAUGCUGGAGUGCAGAGAGUUAGAAACGUUCCGGCGCUGUAGGAUGUGGCUGCGGCCGAUUAGGUAAUGGUGGUACCGGCCCACCAUGCCGAUAAUCCGUACAGGUUGUGAGAGCAAGAGCCUGGAGACGGUAUCUGAGACAGAUACCGGGCCUCUACGGGGCGCAGCAGGCUGUCGAUGGCUCCGGAAUAUUUGACCUGCAGCAGUCUGAUAUCGAAACCCGAAUUAUUACCGUUUCAAAAAGUUGGGUUUUCUUCUCAAGUCUAAAAAAUGCAGAACGGGAACACUACGAUAGGCACGUUGAUAAGUACGGACAACCCCCUACGUGGAAUGAAAAGCGUCCGUAGCUUUUGAUUGAAGUGCAUUGGGUCGACUGCUCAAUUGGUCGGUGUCGGUGGAAACGAUUCACAGCUCCAACACGUGAGACUGAAAGGUCCGUCAACCGUAGACUUGCAGAUUCGAAUUCUGACUAACCCCACAUGGGGAAACCACGUUGAGAGACCGGACCCGACAGUGAGGGACGAAAGCCAGGGUCUCGAACCGGAUUAGAUACCCGGGUAGUCCUGGCUGUAAACAAUGCUCGCUAGGUAUGUCACGCGCCAUGAGCACGUGAUGUGCCGUAGUGAAGACGAUAAGCGAGCCGCCUGGGAAGUACGUCCGCAAGGAUGAAACUUAAAGGAAUUGGCGGGGGAGCACUACAACCGGAGGAGCCUGCGGUUUAAUUGGACUCAACGCCGGACAUCUCACCUGCUCCGACUACAGUAAUGACGAUCAGGUUGAUGACCUUAUCACGAGCUGUAGAGAGGAGGUGCAUGGCCGCCGUCAGCUCGUACCGUGAGGCGUCCUGUUAAGUCAGGCAACGAGCGAGACCCACACAUCUAAUUGCCAGCAGCAGUUCCGACUGGCUGGGUACAUUAGAUGGACUGCCAGUGCCAAACUGGAGGAAGGAAUGGGCAACGGUAGGUCAGUAUGCCCCGAAUGAGCUGGGCUACACGCGGGCUACAAUGGCCAGAACAAUGGGUUGCAAUCUCGAAAGAGACGCUAAUCUCCUAAAUCUGGUCGUAGUUCGGAUUGAGGGCUGAAACUCGCCCUCAUGAAGCUGGAUUCGGUAGUAAUCGCAUUUCACAAGAGUGCGGUGAAUACGUCCCUGCUCCUUGCACACACCGCCCGUCAAAGCACCCGAGUGAGGUCCGGAUGAGGCUAUCGCAAGAUAGUCGAAUCUGGGCUUCGCAAGGGGGCUUAAGUCGUAACAAGGUAGCCGUAGGGGAAUCUGCGGCUGGAUCACCUCCUAACGAACGG
RNAcentral lists this ribosomal RNA (1462 nucleotides) under Halogeometricum sp. wsp3. RNAcentral describes it as "bacterial SSU rRNA". It matches the Rfam family "Archaeal small subunit ribosomal RNA". The record is from RNAcentral. Lineage: Archaea; Methanobacteriati; Methanobacteriota; Halobacteria; Halobacteriales; Haloferacaceae.